AUUGAACGCUGGCGGCAUGCCUUACACAUGCAAGUCGAACGGCAGCACGGGAGCAAUCCUGGUGGCGAGUGGCGAACGGGUGGGUAAAGUAUCGGAACGUGCCCAGUCGUGGGGGAUAACGUAGCGAAAGUUACGCUAAUACCGCAUACGAUCUAUGGAUGAAAGCGGGGGAUCGCAAGACCUCGCGCGAUUGGAGCGGCCGCUAGCAGAUUGGGUAGUUGGUGGGGUAAAGGCUCACCAAGCCGACGAUCUGUAGCUGGUCUGAGAGGACGACCAGCCACACUGGGACGGAGACACGGCCCAGACUCCUACGGGAGGCAGCAGUGGGGAAUUUUGGACAAUGGGCGCAAGCCUGAUCCAGCCAUGCCGCGUGCAGGAUGAAGGCCUUCGGGUUGUAAACUGCUUUUGUACGGAACGAAAAGGUUUGACUUAAUACGUUGGACUCAUGACGGUACCGUAAGAAUAAGCACCGGCUAACUACGUGCCAGCAGCCGCCGCCG
RNAcentral lists this ribosomal RNA (500 nucleotides) under uncultured bacterium. RNAcentral describes it as "partial 16S ribosomal RNA". It matches the Rfam family "Bacterial small subunit ribosomal RNA", at positions 30 to 523 of the family's 1533-position model. The record is from RNAcentral.